GUGCUCACUUCAGCAGCAUAUAUACUAAAAUUGGAGCAAUACAGAGAUUAGCACGGAUCCUGUGCAAGGAAUACAAAAGUCCUUCUAAAACAUUCAUCACUAAG
This is a small nuclear RNA of Ictidomys tridecemlineatus (thirteen-lined ground squirrel), 104 nucleotides long. Lineage: Eukaryota; Metazoa; Chordata; Mammalia; Rodentia; Sciuridae. The record is from Ensembl.